This 275-nucleotide ribosomal RNA is filed under the name uncultured bacterium. RNAcentral's name for it is "partial 16S ribosomal RNA". It matches the Rfam family "Bacterial small subunit ribosomal RNA", at positions 338 to 630 of the family's 1533-position model. The record is from RNAcentral.
CCUACGGGGGGCAGCAGUUAGGAAUUUUGGGCAAUGGGCGGAAGCCUGACCCAGCAACGCCGCGUGGGUGACGAAGGCCCUCGGGUCGUAAAGCCCUUUUCCCAGGGAAGAUAGUGACGGUACCUGGGGAAUCAGCCCCGGCUAACUACGUGCCAGCAGCCGCGGUAAUACGUAGGGGGCAAGCGUUGUCCGGAUUUAUUGGGCGUAAAGCGCUCGCAGGUGGUCCAGUGCGUCGUGCGUGAAAGCCCCCGGCUCAACUGGGGAGUGUCGUGCGA